Molecule: small nuclear RNA, 62 nt
Organism: Tupaia belangeri (northern tree shrew)
Lineage: Eukaryota; Metazoa; Chordata; Mammalia; Scandentia; Tupaiidae
Gene: U7
Rfam family: U7 small nuclear RNA
About the family: Animal histone pre-mRNAs are spliced by a different mechanism than nuclear pre-mRNAs and self-splicing introns. This processing involves the U7 snRNP, which contains only one RNA species: U7.
Source: Ensembl
CAAUGUUACGGCUCUUUUAGAAUUUGUCUAACAGGUUUCCCAGUUUUUACCAGAAAGCCCCA